GGGAACUCUUUGUGAAGGAGGGUCAAGCCCAAUUCCUCCUGCUCUGUCUGCGAUCUUUCGUCUCCAGAGCCAGACUCUGUCUCUCUCUGUCUAUCUUCUGAGUCCGACUCUUCCCCUGUGGUCGAUUCAGCCACAUCCCUGACAGGUGGAGCCCUCUCUGUUGGUGAAUAGAAACUUCUGCCAAAUCCUAACCUCCAGCAGAGGCAUGGGUCAGGGGUUAGAAUGGUUCUGUCCAAUGGUUUUAAAACAAGAUUGGACAAAUUCAUGGCUAUUCACUGAAUACCAGCCACUGAAGAGCAAUGGCAUGAUGGCCUCCUUGUGGACUUGUCUGAGGCACCACUGUUGGAUGCUGGACUUGGUAGAACGUUGACCUUAUCCAGCAAGACUCUCCUUAUGUUCACAUGACUGUGAUGCCAACAUCACAGCUGCCCCUCUCAUGCAGAGCACCACCAAGAAGCCAAGAAGCAGAGCCUGUCACCAGCUCAUAUGCUUGCACCAUUAUCUUCAUGGCUGCAUCCAGGGGACCGAUAUUUUUAGACCAUAUGAGCCAGCCCUGUGUGCAGCCCGUUUGCAAUAUGAGAAUCUCUUCAGGACUCUGUGAAAUUUACGAGAUAGGUAGGAAUGAAUGCAGUGAAUGAUGCAAAUAGUUGUGUAUCUCUAAAGAUCACAUGAGCGGAAAAUCCCAUUCGCACAUAUUCUGCAAAUAACUGCUGAAGAAAUAACUCCUGCCCCAUAACAUAUAAUGAGAAGUAACUACUGUAUAUAUUGUAGUUUGCGACUGUUCUCGAGGUACGCUUAAUGCAAACCAAGCUGUGUUCAUUUACUUUGCAAAUGUUCCUGUUGAGGUUCAUAUUUUAAAAUUACAAUUUAUUACAGAUAUUAACAAUGAUGCCACAAAGAAUAAACAUUCUGCUAUUGCAUCCUGAUUGCCAAGAGAAAGAAAGUACAGUAGAACAAUUACAUUCCUCCUGAGCCGGUGUAUACUGAUUGAUUCAAAUAAAGGGGCCUUUGGGGAAAACAAGAACAUUCUCAGCUAAUUACACAGUUUUGCAUAUUUUGUUAAUUUGUGAAAUUCAGGAUACACCCUACUGGCUUAUAGAUAUUGUUUUGACAAACCAAAGAUUAUGCUGAUGAGCAAACUGUUGCAGAA
Podarcis lilfordi (Lilford's wall lizard) is the source of this 1150-nucleotide non-coding RNA. Lineage: Eukaryota; Metazoa; Chordata; Lepidosauria; Squamata; Lacertidae. The record is from the annotation of a GenBank genome assembly.